GGGUGAGUAAUGUAUCGGAACGUACCUUUCAGUGGGGGAUAACGUAGCGAAAGUUACGCUAAUACCGCAUAUUCUGUGAGCAGGAAAGCAGGGGAUCGCAAGACCUUGCGCUGAUUGAGCGGCCGAUAUCAGAUUAGCUAGUUGGUGAGGUAAAGGCUCACCAAGGCGACGAUCUGUAGCGGGUCUGAGAGGAUGAUCCGCCACACUGGAACUGAGACACGGUCCAGACUCCUACGGGAGGCAGCAGUGGGGAAUUUUGGACAAUGGGCGCAAGCCUGAUCCAGCCAUGCCGCGUGAGUGAAGAAGGCCUUCGGGUUGUAAAGCUCUUUCAGCCGGGAAGAAAACGCAUGGGUUAAUACCCUGUGUGGAUGACGGUACCGGAAUAAGAAGCACCGGCUAACUACGUGCCAGCAGCCGCGGUAAUACGUAGGGUGCGAGCGUUAAUCGGAAUUACUGGGCGUAAAGCGUGCGCAGGCGGUUUGUUAAGAUAGGCGUGAAAUCCCCGGGCUCAACCUGGGAACUGCGUUUAUGACUGGCAAGCUAGAGUAUGGCAGAGGGGGGUGGAAUUCCACGUGUAGCAGUGAAAUGCGUAGAGAUGUGGAGGAACACCGAUGGCGAAGGCAGCCCCCUGGGCCAAUACUGACGCUCAUGCACGAAAGCGUGGGUAGCAAACAGGAUUAGAUACCCUGGUAGUCCACGCCCUAAACGAUGUCAACUAGGUGUUGGGAGGGUAAAACCUUUUAGUACCGGAGCUAACGCGUGAAGUUGACCGCCUGGGGAGUACGGCCGCAAGGUUAAAACUCAAAGGAAUUGACGGGGACCCGCACAAGCGGUGGAUGAUGUGGAUUAAUUCGAUGCAACGCGAAAAACCUUACCUACCCUUGACAUGUCCGGAAGCCCUUAGAGAUUUGGGUGUGCUCGAAAGAGAGCCGGAACACAGGUGCUGCAUGGCUGUCGUCAGCUCGUGUCGUGAGAUGUUGGGUUAAGUCCCGCAACGAGCGCAACCCUUGUCGUUAAUUGCCAUCAUUUAGUUGGGCACUUUAACGAGACUGCCGGUGACAAACCGGAGGAAGGUGGGGAUGACGUCAAGUCCUCAUGGCCCUUAUGGGUAGGGCUUCACACGUCAUACAAUGGUCGGUACAAAGGGUCGCCAACCCGCGAGGGGGAGCCAAUCCCAGAAAGCCGAUCGUAGUCCGGAUCGUAGGCUGCAACUCGCCUGCGUGAAGUCGGAAUCGCUAGUAAUCGUGGAUCAGCAUGUCACGGUGAAUACGUUCCCGGGUCUUGUACACACCGCCCGUCACACCAUGGGAGCGGGUUCCGCCAGAAGUAGGUAGCCUAACCGCAAGGAGGGCGCUUACCACGGCGGGGUUCGUGACUGGGGUGAAGUCGGAACAAGGUA
This 1399-nucleotide ribosomal RNA is filed under the name metagenome. RNAcentral's name for it is "bacterial SSU rRNA". It matches the Rfam family "Bacterial small subunit ribosomal RNA". The record is from RNAcentral.